This 1804-nucleotide long non-coding RNA is filed under the name Monodelphis domestica (gray short-tailed opossum). RNAcentral's name for it is "lncRNA (ENSMODG00000036004.2)". Lineage: Eukaryota; Metazoa; Chordata; Mammalia; Didelphimorphia; Didelphidae. The record is from RNAcentral.
AUGAGAUUUUACAAAAUAAGACCAUACCACACUUUCCUAUUUCCCUGAUGCCUAGAACAGUUCCUUAACAUAGGAGGUAGGUUACAAAGGUUUAUUGAAUGAAAGGAUAUGACUUGUAAAUGUAUAUUUUGUGUCUACUAUUUAAGAUCCACAAAGAAAUCAUCAAAGCCAUGUGAAAACAUGGUAACCAUUGAUCAAACAAUGUAAUAUUAUCACUAUAGUUUCUCAGUAGGUCACAAUCCCUCAAGACUCCGCAGUCAAAAUGGAACUCUACAUUGUUUCAUAGCCUCUUUUUUAGAUUGGAGUCCAAGAGCUACAUCAGAAGUAAGUGGAGAACCUAGGAAUUGGAGAGGAUAGAGUAAAGAUUGAUCCCAAAGAGCAAAGACCAUUCAUCUAAACUUAGAAACAGAAAAGUGGAAUGUAUGACAUUGAAGAGAGUGUCCAAACAUAGCAUCAAAAAGAUUUAUUUUCUUCAUCAGUACUGAAUGAUUCCUGACAACCAUCUAGCAGCAUUAUUUGUGGGUUGUUCUCUAACACCUCACCCCAAUAUAUAUAUAUAGUAAAGUAACACUGAUAAGUUAAGGUAAACAAGAUAUCUAAAUACCAUUACACAAAAAUCAGGGGUCUGUGAUGGCUGAACAAAUUGCCCUAUGUACUAGAGAGGGGAAAUCAGAAGAUGUCACACCAGGAAGUAGUUGAAUGAAAGAAGCUGAAUCUUGAGCCCCCCUUCCCUCUCUACUUCCUGUUCUUCCUUUCACCAAGCAACCUAAUGGAGGUUUUCUUCACAGAUGAAAAGUAAUGGACAAGGGUGGAAUGAAAGGGACCACAUAGUUCACUGUACAUCUCCUUUCUUAAAGAAGUCUCAUCCACUGCUGAGCUUUGAUGAAGGACAUUAGCUUGGUAUGGAAGCAAGAGGAUGUGAUUUCAUGAAGAAAACUAUCUCUCAUAACAAAACCUGCCAAGGAAAGAGAAGGGAGGGAGUAGGAGAAAGCAGUUCCCCCAAAGCUACCCACAUCAAAAAUGAACAACUAAAACAGUCCUGUAUAGAGGCAAUUAGGAAGCAUAAUGGAUCGAGUGCCAGGAGUCAUAGGAUCUGGUUUCAAAUCUGGCCUCAGCCACUUCUUAGCUGGAUGACUCUGGAGAAUUGCCUGGGAAGGAAACUACUUCUCCCAAAGAAGAUCAGCACCUGCUCUGCAAUGUCAGUCUUAGAGAGGAAUGUGGAGCACGGAGAAGUUCAAUGUCAUCCUCUCCAUGGAACCGCAUUGGAGGUAACACUUGCACUCCUCAGUGCUCCUCCUGCCUCUGCUCUAAGAUGGGCUCUCCACAUACUCCACUUAUCCAUACUGCCUUGCAGAGAAGAUAUUCUAUAUAGGUUUUAAUAAAUGAAUUUAAACCGGACCCCUCAUCCCCUCCAUUACUUAUUGAUCUGCUCCCUAUAAUUCUUUCAGGCUCUACUGACUGCAAUCUCCAUCGAUUUCUUUCUCUCUUUUUUUGUGGGAGGGGGUGGGGGGACAGGGAGUAAGGUGGAGGAGAGAAGAGAAGGGAUCUAACAGUAGCUGUCCAGUAGGGGCAGUUUUAUAAGGAAGUGGGGGGGACCAAAAUAAUGAAUGCUAUUAAGUGUCUCAAUGAACUUAGAGAACUGAGUUCAAAUAUCAGGUCUGUUACUUGGUACCUUAGUUGUUCAUCCUCCAUUCUCAAAGAGGACCAAUGACCAUGACGAGUGAUGUGUUGCCUUGUACCUGAAUUGGAUCUAAGUGAAGCAGAGCUGCACAAAGUCUUUAGCCUCCUUCUCUCUUCCAGAAUC